GGUCGUAUAGCUCAGUCGGUAGAGCACUGGUCUAAUAAGCCAGCGGUCAAGGGUUCGAGCCCCUUUAUGACCA
This 73-nucleotide transfer RNA is filed under the name Bigelowiella natans CCMP2755. RNAcentral describes it as "tRNA-Ile for anticodon AAU". It matches the Rfam family "tRNA". From Rfam's summary of the family: Transfer RNA (tRNA) molecules are approximately 80 nucleotides in length. Their secondary structure includes four short double-helical elements and three loops (D, anti-codon, and T loops). Lineage: Eukaryota; Cercozoa; Chlorarachniophyceae. The record is from RNAcentral.